GGAGUACGCCGGGUGGCCGCGCCCUCGCAAGAGGGUGAGGAAAGUCCGGGCUUCAUUGGGCAGGGUGCAGGAUAACGUCCUGUCAGGGUGACCUGAAGGAAAGUGCCACAGAAACAUACCGCUGCGCGCUCGCGUGCAGCAAGGGUGAAAUCGUGAGGUAAGAGCUCACGGAGCCGCGCGGAGACGCGCGCUCGGGUAAACCCCACCCGAAGCAAGGUUGUUCGAGCCCCAACCGUGCGCUAACGCGCGCGCUGGGCGGGCGGCCCGCCCGAAACGAGCAAAAACCGCACCGAGGCCUGCGGCGACGCAGGCCCCAGAGAGAUGGCCAUCGGCUGGGCGCAGGCCCAGCUACAGAAUCCGGCUUACAGGCGUACUCCACAG
This 381-nucleotide RNase P RNA is filed under the name Candidatus Meridianibacter frigidus. RNAcentral describes it as "RNase P RNA component class A". It matches the Rfam family "Bacterial RNase P class A". From Rfam's summary of the family: Ribonuclease P (RNase P) is a ubiquitous endoribonuclease, found in archaea, bacteria and eukarya as well as chloroplasts and mitochondria. The record is from RNAcentral. Lineage: Bacteria; Bacillati; Vulcanimicrobiota; Vulcanimicrobiia; Vulcanimicrobiales; Vulcanimicrobiaceae.